RNAcentral lists this ribosomal RNA (232 nucleotides) under uncultured bacterium. RNAcentral's name for it is "partial 16S ribosomal RNA". It matches the Rfam family "Bacterial small subunit ribosomal RNA", at positions 99 to 334 of the family's 1533-position model. The record is from RNAcentral.
CGGACGGGUGAGUAGUGUCUGGGAAACUGCCUGAUGGAGGGGGAUAACUACUGGAAACGGUAGCUAAUACCGCAUAACGUCGCAAGACCAAAGAGGGGGACCUUCGGGCCUCUUACCAUCGGAUGUGCCCAGAUGGGAUUAGCUAGUAGGUGGGGUAACGGCUCACCUAGGCGACGAUCCCUAGCUGGUCUGAGAGGAUGACCAGCCACACUGGAACUGAGACACGGUCCAG